This is a long non-coding RNA of Cucumis melo (muskmelon), 590 nucleotides long. RefSeq lists it as uncharacterized. The record is from RefSeq and is a predicted model, not a curated record. NCBI's taxonomy places the organism in Eukaryota, Viridiplantae, Streptophyta, Magnoliopsida, Cucurbitales, Cucurbitaceae. The transcript is spliced from 2 exons.
AGAAUCAUUAUUCUUCAACGCAAGAAGACUUAAUCUCAGUGUGCAGAAGAGCACGAUUCUAACUCAAUGGAGAUAAUCAAGGAAGGUUCUUCAACUACUCGUCCUCGAGUACUUGAUGGCAAACUGUUGAUGGAAGGGCUUAGAGAACUGUUGUUGCUGAAUGGGAACCACCUAUGGUUACGAUGGAUGGUAGAUCAAUUCCAAAACCUGAAAUAGAAUGGACAGAUGUUGAAGACCAAGUUUCUUUGGGAAAUUCAAGAGCGCUUAAUGCAAUUUAUAAUGGAGUGGAUUUAAAUGUGUUUAAAUUGAUCAACUUUUGCAGUUUAGCUAAAGAGGCCAAGACAAUUUUUUAAGUUGCUUAUAAGGGUACUUCUAAAGUUAAAAUCUCUAAGUUACAAUUGUUAACAUUCAAGUUUGAAUCUUUAAAAAUGAUGGAAGAAGAAACAAUGGCAAAAUACAAUGUGAGAGUUCUGGAGAUUGCAAAUGAAUCAUUCAAUCUUGCUGACAGGAUACCUGAAUCUAAACUAGUAAGAAAAGUGUUGCGUUCUUUGUCCAACAAAUUUGAUAUGAUGUUUACUACAAUUGAAGAA